RNAcentral lists this ribosomal RNA (538 nucleotides) under Coniothyrium concentricum. RNAcentral describes it as "eukaryotic LSU rRNA". The stretch from base 197 to 350 matches the Rfam family "5.8S ribosomal RNA". Lineage: Eukaryota; Fungi; Ascomycota; Dothideomycetes; Pleosporales; Coniothyriaceae. The record is from RNAcentral.
UUCCGUAGGGGUGCCUGCGGAGGGAUCAUUACACAAAUAUGAAGGCGGGCUGGAAUCUCUCGGGGUUACAGCCUUGCUGAAUUAUUCACCCUUGUCUUUUGCGUACUUCUUGUUUCCUUGGUGGGUUCGCCCACCACUAGGACAAACAUAAACCUUUUGUAAUUGCAAUCAGCGUCAGUAACAAAUUAAUAAUUACAACUUUCAACAACGGAUCUCUUGGUUCUGGCAUCGAUGAAGAACGCAGCGAAAUGCGAUAAGUAGUGUGAAUUGCAGAAUUCAGUGAAUCAUCGAAUCUUUGAACGCACAUUGCGCCCUUUGGUAUUCCAAAGGGCAUGCCUGUUCGAGCGUCAUUUGUACCCUCAAGCUUUGCUUGGUGUUGGGCGUCUUGUCUCUAGCUUUGCUGGAGACUCGCCUUAAAGUAAUUGGCAGCCGGCCUACUGGUUUCGGAGCGCAGCACAAGUCGCACUCUCUAUCAGCAAAGGUCUAGCAUCCAUUAAGCCUUUUUUCAACUUUGACCUCGGAUCAGGUUGCAUACGCG